UCCGUGAGGACGAAUCUGAAGGAAGUUCGUGGGCAAAUCUCUGGUCCGAUGAAUAGAAAUCACAUAUAAGGCAUGGAGUGAGGAUAAGACUGCCGAACAAGUUAAAGUCCAAUAACUACUCGAAAUCAUUCCAUGUAAAUGUGGCGGAUAGAUGGAAAGGAAGAUU
This 166-nucleotide non-coding RNA is filed under the name uncultured Lachnoclostridium sp. The record is from RNAcentral. Lineage: Bacteria; Bacillati; Bacillota; Clostridia; Lachnospirales; Lachnospiraceae.